This is a non-coding RNA of Megalobrama amblycephala (Wuchang bream), 482 nucleotides long. The record is from the annotation of a RefSeq genome assembly. Lineage: Eukaryota; Metazoa; Chordata; Actinopteri; Cypriniformes; Xenocyprididae.
UCGUCUGUUCUUUGGGCAUCACUCUAUCAUCUUGAAGAACAAACAAUGAAAUUAUGGAUGAUGAAGACAUUAAUAAUACUUCUAUCAGUUAUACCAGGAUGUCAAUCAGAAGACUCAGUUGAUCAGCCACUUAAACAUGUUACUGAAUUUGUGGGAGAAUUGAUCACAUUGGACUGCAAAUAUACUACAAGCUCACCAUCACAAGAGCUCUUCUGGUACAUACAGAGAACAAAUGAAUCUCCUAAACUUGCGUUACAAAGGAAUCCAUAUGGAGGAGGAGUGAAUGGAACGGAGUAUCAGGAGAGAUUUCACUCUGAAGUGAAACCAUCAAAAUCCGUCCCCUUGAUAAUCCAGAGACUGCGUGUGUCUGACUCUGCUGUGUACUACUGCGCUCUGAGGCCCACAGUGUCACAGGACGUCUCUCUCUCACUCAAAAACAAAAGAAACAAACCUACAGCAUACAGGGGAAACAGGUGACUGAA